AACGAACGCUGGCGGCAUGCCUAACACAUGCAAGUCGAACGAAGGCUUCGGCCUUAGUGGCGCACGGGUGCGUAACGCGUGGGAAUCUGCCCUUAGGUUCGGAAUAACAGUUAGAAAUGGCUGCUAAUACCGGAUGAUGACGUAAGUCCAAAGAUUUAUCGCCUGAGGAUGAGCCCGCGUAGGAUUAGCUAGUUGGUGUGGUAAAGGCGCACCAAGGCGACGAUCCUUAGCUGGUCUGAGAGGAUGAUCAGCCACACUGGGACUGAGACACGGCCCAGACUCCUACGGGAGGCAGCAGUGGGGAAUAUUGGACAAUGGGCGCAAGCCUGAUCCAGCAAUGCCGCGUGAGUGAUGAAGGCCUUAGGGUUGUAAAGCUCUUUUACCCGUGAUGAUAAUGACGGUAGCGGGAGAAUAAGCCCCGGCUAACUCCGUG
Molecule: ribosomal RNA, 433 nt
Filed under: uncultured bacterium
Lineage: Bacteria
Description: partial 16S ribosomal RNA
Rfam family: Bacterial small subunit ribosomal RNA
Source: RNAcentral